GACUCUCGGCAACGGAUAUCUCGGCUCUCGCAUCGAUGAAGAACGUAGCGAAAUGCGAUACUUGGUGUGAAUUGCAGAAUCCCGUGAACCAUCGAGUCUUUGAACGCAAGUUGCGCCCCAAGCCUUCGGGCCGAGGGCACGUCUGCCUGGGUGUCACG
Molecule: ribosomal RNA, 158 nt
Filed under: Lachnaea pomposa
Lineage: Eukaryota; Viridiplantae; Streptophyta; Magnoliopsida; Malvales; Thymelaeaceae
Also listed under: 1 other name
Description: 5.8S ribosomal RNA
Rfam family: 5.8S ribosomal RNA
About the family: 5.8S ribosomal RNA (5.8S rRNA) is a component of the large subunit of the eukaryotic ribosome. It is transcribed by RNA polymerase I as part of the 45S precursor that also contains 18S and 28S rRNA.
Source: RNAcentral